RNAcentral lists this long non-coding RNA (36499 nucleotides) under Triticum aestivum (bread wheat). RNAcentral's name for it is "long non-coding RNA (TAES_LNC012361)". The record is from RNAcentral. Lineage: Eukaryota; Viridiplantae; Streptophyta; Magnoliopsida; Poales; Poaceae.
UAAUUUUUUAGUGAAACUUUAUGCACGCCCAUAGAACAUGAAGACGUACCCGUGCAACCUUUUUCAGAUUUUCGUGGCAUUUAGAAAUGUGUUUUUCAAAGUGGGUUCAUAUGUACCCGGGUUCAUCUAUGCACUUCCCCUAUCCGCGCCCCCUACAUUCCGCGUGGCUUCGCGGCUUCCCUACAUUGCCGGAUUCAUCGGUCCGUGGUGCUCCCCACCGCCCACACACUCCUCAAUCUUUCUACCCACCGGAUCCAUACGCCGGUGGUGCUCCACGCCGAAGGGUGCUUCUGUAUAUUGCCUUUACUGGCGCGGAAUUCAUAAUGGGCCGGUUAUUGGCGAAUCCAUAAUGGGUUGGUUACUGGCGUGGCCCAUUAAAAGAUAUACUUUUUCUUGUUAAAUCUCAAAAUUUAUAUUUACUUUAUAAUAAUAUAUUAAAAAUUAUUUCAAAAGAAAAUGUUCACGUGUACAAAAGAAAUGUUCAGGUAUAUUGGAAAAAAAAGGGUUCAUAUAUUAGGAAAAAAUGUUCACAUAUAAUUUGAAUCUAGCUUAGUUUGCUUUUAUCUUUGUCGCAUUCAUACAAGUGUUCGCUGCACUGUUGCAUCUCUAUGCACUACCAUAGUACUGCUGUAAGUAUGGAGGCAGUAGUAAUAAUUUGCACACUUUUGGUUACUUAUAAAUUACCUGUGGGCUGUGGUUGGAAUAGUGUGAUUGACAUGCCAAUAACAGGAUGCACAACGACCGUACAGAGACCAGCUCACAUUACUCCAAGACAAGUCUUCAUCUACCUUGCUGAGAACCUUCUCAUAUGUUUGACGGAAUAGCGGAGGUUGACGGAUUUGUACCCUUUUGAUUACUCAUAAAUUAGAAAGGGGCAUACCUGGGAAUAUUUGUGUGUCGGAUGUUACACGGCAAUCAACAACAUGCACGGGCCCGCAGACCUACCGAAAGCGCCGGUGACCCACUUGAGCUUGGAUUUUUUGCUUCAGCUUGUGUGGUCAUGAUGCUGCCUGGUUGUAUAGGCUAUGAAUUCCACAAGACUUCCAACACAAUAUACACUUGCGUGGUUGUACAGCGCCACUCCGUCAUUUUCCUCGUACACAGGACUUCCAACAAGACUUGGGGUCCAGCAUUUAUAUUAACCACAAUUCAGCACUGAAACCUUUAUUUUUACCACCAGCACGGAAUUUUCCCAAAAUUUGUUGUUGUGUUGCGCCACCAGCCACGAGUCCUUGACCUAAAUCUAAAUCGUUUGUUCUAUGUACCAGCUGAAAAGCGAAAAUGGAAAUUAACAUUGGUACCGUGGAGAAUAGCUUAACUGAAGCAGUUACAGAUUACAUGAUCAAAUAAACAAAUAUACUAUCAAACCAACCACAGGAGAUACAAAAACCUCUACUGCAAUGUUAACUCAAAGUCCAUCAGCACAUAAGUCGUAGACGGAGGAGAUAUGACUAGGCGUAUGCCGCGUGUACCCUUCUAUCCCUUCCUUCAGUUGCUUUCUAGGAAUAAUUACAGUUUCAUUCUUCCACUGGCACGAGCAAAGAAAAGAGGAAUAGAUGGCGACACCAGAAAGCUCUCGUGUAGCUCAGGCUACAUGGAACCUCUUAUCCUCAACCCUCCAGCCUUGCUUUGAGAUCCGUACUCUCCAACUAACUUACAACAAGAAGAUUUCUCUUUUUUGUUUCUCUCAAAUGAAGCAACAUAUGAAUUUCAAAGGGAAAGAAAAAGGGGCAGAGAUGGCGACACAUUGAAGAAUAGUCAUCCAGCAGCAUCUUCCACUCAACUAUUGUGUGUUGAUUGAGGACCUCACAACAACGAAAGACACACUAGUUAAAUACACAUCAAUAGUUUGCGUAGAAUCACAUCCCCCAACCAAACACAGCAUGCAAACACUACGUAGAAAAAUGGCAUCUUGCUCAACACCACUGUUGUACCUCUGCUUACUGCUGGUGCCAUGCCUUCUUCUCUUGGAAGAAGCGCAUGCGGCACGCCAUGGAGGGAUCUUGCUGAGGUCUCAACGUAUGGCCCUCCUCCGCUGGAAAGCUACACUUGCAGGCCCACCGCUGCAGAUGAGCUCUUGGCAGGAAAACACCAGCCCGUGCAACUGGACAGGCAUCAUGUGCACGGCUGUUCGCCAUGGCCGCCGUGUACCCAGGGUGGUGACCAACAUCUCCCUGCCGGAUGCGGGCAUCCAUGGCAAAUUUGGUGAGCUCAACUUCUCGUCUCUUCCAUUCCUCUCAUAUAUUGACCUACGUAACAACAGCCUCCAUGGUGCACUGCCUACUAGUAUCAGCUCUCUGUUAGCACUUUCGGUACUUGGCCUUACCUACAACCAGCUUACAGGGAAAAUUCCUAAUGAGAUUGGUGGUCUACAAAGUCUCAUGCAGCUUGAGCUAUCAUUUAACAGAUUCACAGGACAUAUCCCUGCGUCUCUAGGCAACCUGACAAUGUUAACUUAUCUUGGCAUUCACCAAAACUUGGUAUCAGGUCCCAUUCCUGGGGAGAUUGGAAGGCUCGUCAACCUACAACUUCUACAACUAAGCAACAGUAGCUUAAGCGGCAUGAUACCAAAAACCCUUGGAAAUCUGACCAAACUAAAUACUUUGUACUUGUUUGGUAAUCAACUUUCAGGGCCUAUACCCCAAGAACUUGGCAAGCUAGUCCAUUUGCAAAGUCUUGAGCUCGAUUCAAAUGAUUUUUCAGGUCCAAUUCCAAUCUCCAUAACCAAUCUCACUAAGAUGAACACACUUUUUCUCUUUGAAAAUCAAAUCACAGGUUCAAUACCCCCAGAACUAGGCAACCUCUCUAUGUUAACCCAACUUGAUCUCUACACAAAUCAAAUAACAGGUUCGAUACCACCAGAACUAGGGAACCUCACUAUGCUAACUGAACUUUUUCUUUAUACAAAUCAAAUAACAGGUUCAAUACCCAGAGAACUAGGCAACCUCGCUAUGCUAAACAACCUUGAUCUCUCUACAAAUCAAAUCACAGGUUCAAUACCCAGAGAACUAGGGAACCUCACUAUGCUAACUGAACUUUUUCUUUAUACAAAUCAAAUAACAGGUUCAAUACCCAGAGAACUAGGCAACCUCGCUAUGCUAAACAGCCUUGCUCUCUCUAGAAAUCAAAUCACAGGUUCAAUACCCAGAGAACUAGGCAACCUCACUAUGCUAACUGAACUUUUUCUUUAUAAAAAUCAAAUAACAGGUUCAAUACCCAGAGAACUAGGCAACCUCGCUAUGCUAAACAACCUUGCUCUCUCUAGAAAUCAAAUCACAGGUUCAAUACCCAGAGAACUAGGCAACCUCGCUAUGCUAAACAACCUUGCUCUCUCUAGAAAUCAAAUCACAGGUUCAAUACCCAGAGAACUAGGCAACCUCACUAUGCUGAAUAAACUUUAUCUCUACAGCAAUAAAAUCACGGGUCCUAUACCUUUAGAAUUGGGCAUCCUGUUGAAUCUUCAAGAAUUAUACUUGUCUGACAACCAAAUAACCGGUUCCAUUCCCUAAGAGAUUGGUGAUCUGAUGAAGCUCCAAUAUUUAGGCUUGUAUCAGAACCAAAUUUCAGGGUCAAUACCAAAAACUUUUGGGAAGCUGCAAAGCAUCCAAAAACUUCAAACCUUUUAUAACAACUUAUCAGGUUCUCUUCCUCAAGAAUUUGGAGAUCUAAUAAACCUUGUUCAUCUUGCGUUGUCUAACAACUCACUCUCAGGACCUUUACCAGAAAAUAUAUGUUUAGGUGGCAGACUUCAAACUCUCAGUGUCUUUUCCAAUAUGUUCAAUGGCCCCAUUCCUAGGAGUUUAAAGACAUGUACCAGUUUGGUUCGAAUUGACCUUGAGUCGAAUCAACUAACAGGAGAUCUCUCUCGGGAUUUUGGUGGGUAUCCACAACUCAUAAAGAUGAGCUUAGCAUCGAACAGAUUCUUUGGGCAAAUCUCACCAAAUCUAGGUGGAUGUACCCAGCUAACAGUACUACAUGCAUCUAUCACAUAAUAUGAUCACGGGUUCCAUAUCUCCAAUACUUUCUAAAUUGUCCAACCUAGUAGUACAAAGAUUAGAUUCUAAUAGUCUUAGUGGUGAGAUUCCACCAGAAAUCUGGACUUUAGCUAAUCUAUAUCAACUAAACUUAUCAUCGAACCAAUUAUCUGGAUCCAUACCUACACAUAUAGAAAAGCUAAGCAAUCUAGGAUACCUUGGUAUGUCUAGAAACAGACUGGGUGGAUUAAUACCUGAGGAACUAGGGUCAUGCACAAAACUACAGUCAUUGAAGCUCAAAGACAACAACUUCAGUGGGAGUUUGCCACCCGCGAUUGGAAAUUUAGCAGGCCUGCAGAUCAUGCUAGAUUUGAGCAACAAUAACCUCAGUGGUGUGCUGCCGCAGCAACUUGGGAAGUUGGAGAUGCUGGAAUCUCUGAAUUUAUCACAUAAUCAGUUUGGUGGCAGCAUUCCAUCCUCCUUUGCAAGCAUGGUGAGCCUUUCAACGCUUGAUGUGUCCUACAAUGACUUGGAAGGAUCAGUCCCAACAACACGGCUACUCCAAAAUGCUUCAGCAAGUUGGUUUGUUCCCAAUAAAGGUAUGUGCGGCAACCUCUCUGGCCUGCCACCUUGUUAUUCAACACCAGUAGCUGGCCACCACAAGAAGAAGACACUUGGUUUGCUUUUGCCAAUUGUUCUUGUUGCGGGUCUCAGCAUUAUUGUUGCAAUUGUUGUCAUAAUAAUGCUCAGUCGUAACAAGAAAAAACCCCAAGAAAGUGUCACUAUUGAAGGAAGGGACCUAUUCUAUAUUUGGAAUUUUGAUGGAAGGUUAGCAUUUGAAGAUAUUGUAAGGGCAACAGAAGACUUCGAUGAUAAGUACAUCAUUGGAACAGGAGGAUAUGGCAAAGUGUACAAGGCACAACUCCAAGAUGGGCAGCUAGUUGCUGUGAAGAAGCUUCACCAGACCCAAGAAGAGUUGGAUGACGAAAGAAGAUUUCGUCGUGAAAUGGAAAUCUUAUCACAGAUCAGACAACGAAGCAUUGUCAAAAUGUAUGGAUUCUGUUCCCACCCAGCAUAUAAAUUUCUCAUCUAUGACUACAUUAAGCAGGGAAGCCUCCACAUGACAUUGGAAAAUGAAGAGCUAGCAAAGGAAUUAGAUUGGCAGAAGAGAAUUGCUCUGGCAACUGAUGUGGCUCAGGCAAUAUCUUAUUUGCACCACGAAUGCAGUCCACCAAUAAUCCAUAGAGAUAUCACAAGCAACAACAUCUUACUUGAUACAAUCUUCAAGGCUUUUGUCUCGGAUUUUGGCACUGCAAGGAUUCUUAAGCCCGAUUCAUCAAACUGGAGUGCACUAGCAGGAACAUAUGGCUACAUAGCUCCUGGUAUGUACUAGUAUAACCUUCCUUCUCAUAUCAGAAAUAUUCAUCUCUUAUCCAUUUGUUCAUGAUUCUAAUAUUUUGAUUUUGUGCAGAACUCUCGUACACAUCUGUUGUGACGGAAAAAUGUGAUGUAUAUAGCUUUGGUGUGGUUAUGCUAGAGCUAGUGAUGGGGAAGCAUCCAAGGGAUCUAUUAGACGGUAGUUUGUCAAGCGGGGAACACGCUAUGCUGGUAAAAGAUAUUCUAGACCAACGGCCGACAACACCAACAGCAACAGAAGAGAAUAGCUUAGCUCUGCUCAUCAAGCUGGCCUUUUCUUGCUUGGAAUCUUCUCCACAAGCAAGGGCAACCAUGCGGGAGGCAUACCAAACACUCAUCCAGCGACCCUCUUCUAGCUCCUGCCCCAUGCCUUUCAGCGCACUUACAUUACAGCAAGGGAGUGAUGCAUGUUGAUAUAUGAUCUGAAUUCUAGUGAGAAGCCAAGGUCUAUCAUUGUGGAAGCCGAUUUAGGUUUAUGUUUUGCCUCGAGUCACUCAUAUACCAUCUAUAUAUGUAAAAGUCUGUAAUCAUCUCAUGUCAUCUCGUAGAUUUUAUUUCUAGCAAAAACAAUAACCGGUCCAUGCAGCAUGAGCCUGAUCACGACAUGGCCAGAUCAGUAGUUGCAUGCUAUUAUGAUCGCCUCGUGGGAUGGCACGAGUACCGGCUGUAGCGGCUUAGAACUUGAGGCAUGAUCAAGGGACGUGGGAUGGCAUGUCCGUAAAGCUUGGUCAUGGUGCAAGAUUAGGAUCUUUAUGUUAGCUAGUUGAGCUAAUGAGCUGUUUAAAUAAAGAGGAGAACAAAGCAGAAAGGCUGCAAUGGUUUACACAGAGCAAAUAUCCUGAGUGUCCACUGAUUCUUUUCCCUCCCUGUGCCUCGGGAUGAGUUCAUGACUCAUUGUAAGUGGUCGAUGCUUAAACAAGAACAAAUAAAUAUAAACACACGAAGCUAGGUGCAUAAAAAAGGAAAAUUACCAUAGGACUAAGCAAAAGAACUUAUGCGGGGUUGUAGGGCAAGAGUAUGAAGUCCUUAUCCUUAUGAUGGAGCAUUGUAUCCAGGAGUAUGUAGUCCUCGUCCUUCAGAUGGAACAACAAAUAAUUUACUACUACACUAAAUUUCAAACAUUGAUUGGUGGCGAGAUUGAAAUGGAACAGAGAUACAACCUUACUUUUUAUUCAUGUCUAACAAAUGCUUAACAAAGGAUGAGAUGAUAUGAUAUGCAAAGUCCCAGAUGACAGACAACAGUGAGAGCUAAGCUACUGAAUCAUAGACAUGAAGAGUUUGGUAUGAAUAUAUCCCAUACUCUUUUUACCAGAAAAGUAGGUACCAGUUCACCUUAAAAUUCAAUACAACGAAUUUGUCCAUGCACAAACAAAGCACUGCAGGCAGUCCUAGUUCAUCCUCCUGCACAAGCAGAGGAAAGCAAGCACAGCAAAUUAGUCUACUGGUUGAGACACAAGCAUAGACGUUCACUGAAACUGAAAUGAAGCAGAGUAUGUGUUGUGGUAUGAUAAGACUGAGACAACGGUUAUUGCUCCGAAAGCUCAGGAUCAAAUCCAUCAUAUAGCACAUAUAUGGCGUUAAAGUGGUUUGGAUGUGUUCCCGUGAGUUGUUUUUGCUAGUAAUAUCAAGCUAGGAUAAGCUCAGUGUUGUUCACACCAACUAUUUGAUUCAGUAACUUUAAGGUGAUAAUACCUGGUGUUUGAGUCAUCUAAGAAUAGCCAACUACAAAUAAGUCCCUCCUCAUCAAUGUCAUCUGGGACAUUGUAGUUUCUACCAAGAGUUUCUUGUAUUUCACUGCUCACAUCCAUAACAUCCAUCGUCUCGUCUUGCAUGCUCUGCGGAUUAUGAAUGCAGGUACGGAUUCAGAUGUAAUUCAAACAAAAUAAGCUGAAGAUCUUGAAAAUAUGAACAGUUAUGCUCCAUACAUCUAUAUCUUCAAUCCUGACAGUCUUCAUCAUCCCUUUCAGCUCUGUAUUGGCAGCUUUCAUUGCAGUCAUCUGUUAAAUGAAAAACAAUUCAACAUAAGUUUGGGUGCCAGAAUAAGAAUCUAUCAUGAACUUGACAGGAAACUAAGGCAACAUACAGUGUGUUGAGCAUCUUUAAUUCUGUCUGAUGCGAAAGCAAGUUGGUCAAGAUUAUAGGUUUGGUUGGACAGGAUGUCACGUUGACCUUCAUACCUGUAGGGAAAGGAUGUGGAGUAUAAAUAUUUGAGCCCUAUGAGCUCGGCUGACACAGUGAUCGAAAGCUGCGCAACCAAAACAACUUGAAACCGCAUAGCCUACUGCCACAAGAGGAAUGAUUAAAUGAUACAGGGUAAUCAGCGCCCUUUAACCAAUAGCAUUCCCACGUCUGUCUUGUCCAUGACAAGAACAUGCUAGCAUUCGAAAUCAGCGGCUUCUAUAGCAAGUAACCUAAGGAGAUAAGAACAAAACCUUUUACAUGUAAGGAAAUUUUGAAACAACACAAAAAUGGUUUAUUAUUGUAAAGAAGGGGGAAAAAAUCUAAAGGUGUAUGAGAGCACAUCAACCAGAUUCGGGAUUCAGCUAUAUAUACCUUCUUGGACAACCUUUUAGAUGUUGACUUGUAACAUUGGUGGAUGGCAGCAUGGACCGGCGAGCGACCGCGAAGAGAGGAGAAGAAGACGUCGCUGCAGCGCGUUGUGGGCAUUUCAUCGAACAUGUGGUGUGCGGGAGCAGAUCUUCCGAAUCCUCGUCCUGCCACAGAAAUCGGUGCUCAAACUACCAAAAUCAGCAUCAAGCCAGUUUUGUUCAUCCGUGGCAUGGCAUCAAUCAACGGAAGUUGUAGGAUUUGGUAGAACGAGAGAGCACCUACUGACACCGAUAUGAGCNNNNNNNNNNNNNNNNNNNNNNNNNNNNNNNNNNNNNNNNNNNNNNNNNNNNNNNNNNNNNNNNNNNNNNNNNNNNNNNNNNNNNNNNNNNNNNNNNNNNNNNNNNNNNNNNNNNNNNNNNNNNNNNNNNNNNNNNNNNNNNNNNNNNNNNNNNNNNNNNNNNNNNNNNNNNNNNNNNNNNNNNNNNNNNNNNNNNNNNNNNNNNNNNNNNNNNNNNNNNNNNNNNNNNNNNNNNNNNNNNNNNNNNNNNNNNNNNNNNNNNNNNNNNNNNNNNNNNNNNNNNNNNNNNNNNNNNNNNNNNNNNNNNNNNNNNNNNNNNNNNNNNNNNNNNNNNNNNNNNNNNNNNNNNNNNNNNNNNNNNNNNNNNNNNNNNNNNNNNNNNNNNNNNNNNNNNNNNNNNNNNNNNNNNNNNNNNNNNNNNNNNNNNNNNGAAUGGCGGCGAGAAGAGGUGGCGGACGUGGUCGGUGGCGUUGCCGACGAGUGGACACCGCAGUCGCUCGACGGCGGGGACGGAGCUCGCGGCGGGGACACAUGCAGUACAAUUUGUUUGCAUAAAAUUUAAACAAAUCACACCACUCAAUUAAAUUUUUGUGACAUUUAAAAAUGUUCGCACGUUCAAAAAAAUACGUUAAUGAAAAAUUGGAAAACAAGUUUUUCCAUGCUCAACAUGUAUCAAAAAAAUAUUCGUAUGUAUAUGGAAAAUGUACAACAUGUAUUGAAAAAAAAAAACUUCAGUGUGUAUUUAAAAAAAUAUUCAUCUUGUAUUUAAAAAAUUAUCGAGGUGCAUCAAAAAAAUGUUAAACAUGUACUUGAAAAAUGGUUAACAUGUUCAAAGACGUAUUUUACAAAAUGUCCAUCAUGCAUUUGAAAAAUAUUCAGUGUGUAUAAAAAAGUAGAACCUGUACUAGAAAAAUUCUGUCAUGUAUUUGAAAAAAAUAAAAUGAAAACUGAACGGAAAAGCAAAAGAACCAUACGACACCCGCGAAGGAAAACUUAGUAAAAGACAAAAGAGAAAACUACAUGGAACCUUCCAAAAACCGGUGAAAGGUUCCACGAGCUGGUGUAGAAACUUCACAACACCGCACGUGUACAUGUUAAUUGGACCGGCUCGACCUACUGCUCACCUACUGUGUUAGGUAUUGCAGUAGGCGAGAUAUUGGUCUGGCGCUCCUAUUCAUCGCUUUUAGCGAGCGCUAGGGUACGAGUCCCUCGCCGGUCACCCCUAAAUAGGUCUGACCCGUCAGCGGGAGCAAGCACCUGCGAGCGAGCGCUGUGGCACCAGCGAGCCACGUUGGCCGUUUUUGUUUUGUCCAAAAAUUGCAAUUUUUUAUUGUUUGCAAAUUCAAAAUUCUGAACAUUUUUGGAAACGAUAAAUCCUUCAAGAAAUUUUGAAUAUUUUCUAAAAAGUGAACUCUUUCGAAACACGAACAAAUGUUGAAACACAAAAAAUAUAUCCAAAGCAAAAAACAAUAGAAAUUAUAAAAACUUUUAAAUUACUUUUUAAAAUGCACAAUUAAAAAUUAAUAUGUAUUAUUAUGAACAUUUAUUUAUAUAAGAUGAAUAUUUUUAAUAUAUGGUGAACAACUUUACAAAAUACAUGCUGAAGAAUUAUUGAAUAUGCAAUGAACAUUUUAUUUGUGUACAAUGAACUUUUCUUAAUAUACGGUGAAUAAUUUGUAACUACAUUGAUCAUUUUAUGUUUUGCGGUUAACAAUAUUUGAAAAUCGCAAACAAUUUUUGAUGUCUUGAACAAAUUUUGAGAAAUGUGAAAACUUUUCGAAAAUUUCUUGAAAUUGUGAUCAAAAUUUGAAAUUCCGAACAUAUUUUGGUAAAACAAAAAAAUAUUUCAAAAACUUUUUUUUCAUAAAAACAUGAACAAUCUCGAAAUUCUGAACAUUUACUGAAAAUGUUGAAAUUAAAAAUAAAACAAAUUAACCAUAAAAGGUAAAAAACCUGGAAGGAAAAAAUAAAAAAAAAUAAAACUAUUAUUUUUGUGUCAUGUAUUUAAAAAGGAAAAGGUAAAAGAGGAGAAAGGAAAACGAAAAAAAAAAGAAACCAAAGAAGGAAAAGAAAAGGCAGAAAUAGAAACCUGGUACAAAAAACAAGCAGAAAACACAGAGAAGAAAAAACAUCUGAACUUCCCAAAACCGUUGGGAACGCUUCCGCUCAAUGGACUGGCCCGCUGGACGCGCCUGUAGGCGAUUGACGUCGCAACACUCGCAAAGAACGACAUAUAUCAUUUGUGAUAUAGCUCUCGCGCUUGGUGAAGGCAAUUCCAGUCAACUGUGUGUGCGUGCCAAGCUUUUUGCGAUUUGGUGCCCAUGAUGGACCUCACAAUUACGAUGGGCUCAAGUAUUCCACACCACACAAAAUGAUGGCCCGAAAACGGCCCAAGGUCUAGACUGGAGAGCUGAAACGGCCCAAAGAAACAGAUGUAGGAUGAGUAAAAAAAAAGACCUAUUAAACGGGUCGCCCGUGCCUUGUUAAUGAUUGCCUGGAAGCCCUUCACGCCAGGCAUGGGCCCAAAGUUAUUACAACGGAUCCUUAAAGUUUUUUACAGCGGAAAGCAUGCCCUUGUAUCUCAUGCUAGAACUCCACGCAUCGCCCUGUUACCGGCACAAUUCUCGAGGGACGUGUCGCUGUUUUGCCCUCCACAUAUGCCUUCAUAAGACCAUAGUAGAAAUUGUAUGUUGUGCAACUUCUUCCCUUGAUUCCUCCGCAACUCAUCCAUCGUCGUCGACAGGGAAGCACAGAUCUAGAGUCACACACGACCGUGAUGGCAAGCAGGAGUGACGCAACCGUUGACCUUGAGGGCCGGAACGCCACAACAGAAGAUACUAUGAUUUGACAUUCUUUCUUGCUCCGCUAGAAUGGCUGCAAAGUCCAAAGUCCCUGGGAGCUGGUUAGUCUCCAUGACUUCUUUCGACCACCUACAAGAUAUGGUCGCUCCAAGUUUUCUGCCUGACUGGCGCGUCCUCCUUUGGCUCCAUGUAUUUCUACACGUAAAGAAACACAUGGAAUUACCCCUCAAAAAACACAUGGAAUUUUCCUUAAUCACAACUAUUAGUAUAUUAAUCUUUUUAUAAUAAACACAAUUAAACUUCAAAAUGGAUAGAUAUGUUCUCACUGAUGUUUGUCUCUGAAAUUGGAGAUGUUCUAUUCGCAAUAUAUUAGCAAAUCUUUGGAAGCAUUUGGGCUUGGUGUUGUCGUUGUGAGAUCGGUGUUGUCGUUGUGAGAUCGUGAGGAUCAUCUUGGUGUCGUGGCCCUAGAUUGUAAUCAAUGAAUGGCGAAUGAUGAAAUUUGUGAGUCAUUCCAACAAAUGGGUUUUGUCAACGGAGUACAUAUAGUAUAUUUUUGUAGCCAGGCCAGCCAAUGAUCCCAUGUCUAUAGGUGUUGUAAUAUUAAAAUUAGCCCAAUUUCCCUGCAAUUAACAUGGAAACUCUCUUUAACUUAACUGGUAUAUGGAUUAAAUGGAGGAAGUGUCAAUCAAGUCCAUUAAGAAAAAAAUUGAUGAAAAAUCUAUCUAUAUUCAUAUCCAAACAAUCAUUAGACGUAAAUCAGCUCCACACUUAAGGAACAUUGGCACAACGCCUAUUUUUUCAUAUAAGAAAAUAUAGAUCAUGAGGGCAUGUAUAAUGGUUGAUAAGAUUGUCUUAUUUGUCCCCCAUGUAAUCUAAAGAAGACAACAAAAAAUGAUGUACAAUGUAUUACUCUUAGUCUUAUCUCUAAUAACAAGAUAUUCCUAAUUAUGUGGUGAGAGAAUUGUUGCUAAGAGAUCAUCUCUUAAUGAAGAGAAGGCAAGUCUUUUCUUAUGGUUUCUCUCUCCUCCACCUCUACAAUUAUCCUAUGUGGCACUUCUAAGCUAAGACCAUUGUAUAUGCCCUCAUACAUCCAUUCUUUGGAUGUAAUUAAAUCAAGUCCAUUUUUAAUGAUUAUUGGCAUAAAUUGAUCUAUAUUCAUAUAAAAAGAUAGGCCAUCAAGCAAUCAUUAAUUGGAUGUAAACCAAGUCCAUAUUUAAUGAACAUUAAUUAAACAAUUGAUUUAUACCCACCUCUAGAAAGAUUAUUUCACCGGAUGACUACCCAUUAAAUGUUCAAUGCAUGAUCAGUACAAUGCAAUCUAAAACUUUCUAAAGAAAGAACCUGGCUCAAUUCUAUAUAAGUUGUGUUCUAUAAAGAAGAUACAAGUACGUCAGGAAUCACAUAGUUACUAUUUCAUUGAAAAUAGCACAAUUACCUAUACAAAUGGGAGGUGAUUAUGUUGUCAUAUCGGUCUUACUAUGCUUUUUGUGUAUAACUUUCCACCUCACCUUUGUUGAAUCGAUAGACGUAGAUGUCAAUCUCCAGACGAAUGAGAAGGUAACCAAUAUUUUACUUUUAGAUUUUGAUAUAUACAACUUCUUAUCAAUUGGUUUAUGUAUUAUCCCAUUGUUGUAUCUACUUGACCACUUAAUCUUGAUAAUUAUUAUUGGUGUUUAUCAUUCAUAACUACUUUAUGUUACUUAUAUGCCCAACUAAAAUGUAGGACACACAUGUGAAAUGAAUACUUAUCUUUCAAAGACUUUGUACAUCAAUUAUAUAUGCUAACUACUCAUGAACUAUUAUUUCCCUCUGCAGAACACCACUCUUUUAAGACCUAAGCAUUUCCAUUUUCCUUGGAGAGCUAAUAUCAUGGAUGAAGGAAGCGGCAUUAUUUCCCAUGUACACACACUCUCCCCCAUUCUCUGUAUAUAUCUCUCUUUACCUUUUCAUGUGUUAGAUUUGGGAUGUUUUGUUGAUUUGUUGGUGAGUGUUGAUCACAAGAGGCAAAGCCAAAGUAUUUUCAAUAUAAGCAUCACAUAUUUAAACCACGGAGAAAAAAAGUAGCAAUCUACAUUCAUUAAUGAUGUACCUAAAUCAUAGUUGGUCAAGCUAAAUUCUGGUCAAUGGCCCAAGAGACAUGGUCGUACAUAAAGACCAAAUAAAAGACAUAGACCUAAAUGAACUAAGCUUGAUGCCCUAUAUACCGCGAAAGCUAGGAUCAUUACAUAUAAAGCAUGCUACCAAAAUAACGUGAACAACAGAUUCAGAAAGGCAUUUAAGACAUACUCUAUAUAGGAGACUUAUGCUGACAUACCAACUUUAUUGGCAAUACACUUCACACCUAUCAGAGAGAGAAUCAAAUCUUGUUUCACCCAUGCCACAAGGAGGAUAGAAGAUGUUGUUAGCCCAAGAACCUAAGUAAGACCAUCGAAAAUGCACAUGAACUAAAGCUUUGCAUGCAUCACCACAAAGGGUCUAAUAGCAUUGGAUUGACACCACACCCCGUGGAGUAAGCUAAAUCCAGUAUGAUAUACUCAACAAGGCCUAUGAAAACAAAUCUAGACUAACUCCAAGAUAGCAUGAAAGAUUCCCCAUUGUAAAUGUCUGGUAGGUGAACCUCAUACCAAGGCCAAGAACGCACACCCUCACUUGUUUAUUAUGUCGUUCGCUAUAGAUUUUUCCGGUUAUUUACUAAUUUGCUAUAAUUUUCUAUCACUAGUAUGCAAUGUGGCACACAGAGCCAGGACAAUUCUACGGCCUUCGAGCUGACAUGAGUAUAUGGGCUUCACCAAAUCAAGGAACUUCUCAAGAAUCUGGAGCAUCCUUACAGAUCUAUUGUCAAGAUGGAGGAAACUACAACUUAAUUCAAGUUGGAUUUCAUGUACAAACAUAUCACCCAUUAUGGUAAAGUCAAAUUCUUUUGAAUAAACAACUAUUUCAUAAUUUGCUUCUACUUGCAGAUUUCCCCCUCUUUAUACCAUAACAGAGAUAUUCGCUUCUUUACAUAUUGGACCGUAAGUAUAAUCAAUGCCAUUUUAACAAGUUAUAUAUUAUUGUGGUCCCCAUAUAGUUUUAUGGUAUUUCGUAGGAGUUAGAGGCACUAUUGGACUAAGUAAAGGUCUCUUUACAUCCACAAUAAUACAUGUUUCCUCUUUUUUUGUUGCUCAGAAGGACUUGAAACCGAAGGGGUGCUACAACUUGCAGUGCUCAGGAUUUGUUUCUGCAAGUCGAGCUAAUCUGGUGCCUGGACAAGCCAUGGCUCCUCCAUCAAUUUAUGGCAAACAAGACCACUACGUUAGGCUUAGCCUCAACAAGGUGCACCAUUUGUCCCAUUCUAGAGAUUACUAUAUCGAUAUAAAUUCACAAAUGUGCUCCUAUUUUUUCUAUAACUAGAUGAAACAUGCACGUUCCUGCAGUAACCCCAUUGAAUGAAACAUGUAAAUAGAUGCUAUAAGAGCAACUACAAAAGAGAAAAGGUAGGAUUGUGGUUAACAGAAUGUCAUUUUUCUAUCAAAAAUGUGAAACAUGAACUACAUAAGUAUCCUCAGAGUGUCCAACACAUGAUCCAUUCACGACAACAAAAAAUAAACGCAAAAACAGUAAUUUAUGAGGGGCAUGCAUGACUUGCUGGCGUGUAGGACUGCAUGGAUAGGAAAAACAAGCACAUAUGAAAAAUAUAACUUAUACGAACAUGCAUGACUUGUUGAUGUGGUAUGGCUGCACACAUAGAAAGAAAAGUAAACGUAUAACUAACAUGUAUGACUUGUUGACGUGGCAUGGCUGCUUGAAUAGGAAAAAUAGGUAGUGUAUUGCAACUAUUUAAGAAUAGAGGAUUAAAAUUAACAAAGAUAGAUUUUAUGAAUGUUAAAAUUAGUUAGGCAUAAAUUCACAUGGUUACUAAGUAACAUGCUUUCUAUUUUAUUAAGAAAAUAUGGAACAUUGGAAUCUAGGAAAUUGUACGCCACCCAAGAUUCUUGCUAAUAACAACAUGUUUUCUGGAGUACUCUGCUUGUGCAUGAAAUUUAUUGUUCAUGGAUGUCAUCAAUCCCUUGUUGACUACAGGAUCCAAAUUCCGGAGAUUGGGUGGUGUACCGUCAUGAUUUACAGAAACCAUCAUUCUUGGGACAUUUUCCAAAUAAGCUUUGCCCCGGAACACCACGUAUACAAGCCUUGACUGGAUUCGUGAAUUACUUGAAGAAUGCACAUGGUCCUCCAAUGGGUAGCGGCCACUUCCCCGAUUAUGACGAUAAGAGAUCUGCGUACUUCAAGCACAUUCAGAACUACAAUCCAAAUGGUCAUUCUUCCGACCUCUUUGGCAUUCCCAUGAUCAAGUUAGUUGAUAGGCCAGAUUGUUAUGGAGCGAAUAAUUUAUUUCUUGAAUAUAAGAAGGGUUAUAUGUUCAACUAUUGUGGACCAAGUGGUUGUGUUGGUUGACAACAAAAGUUGUAUUGCCAUUUGGAUUCAAUAAACAAAAAAUAUGUUACUUAAUGGUCAAAGACUAUCACUUAAGCCAUUCCCAACACGUGCGGUUGUGACGGGGAGCUAGGUAAUUCAUGUUUAAGUAAUGGAAAUUGAUUAUAUUCAAACGACUGAUUACUUGCGGGUGUAAACCUCCUCCGACGCCCGCCACGCGUCCCUAUGGACCUACUCAACGUUUAUCCAUCUGCCACCCUUAUCUCUUCUUCUACGCGCCCGAACCACUCUUUUUUUUUNNNNNNNNNNNNNNNNNNNNNNNNNNNNNNNNNNNNNNNNNNNNNNNNNNNNNNNNNNNNNNNNNNNNNNNNNNNNNNNNNNNNNNNNNNNNNNNNNNNNCUUAUCCAACUAAUCAUUUGGUUUGUUGUGUUUGGUGCAACUACUUACUAGCGAGAUUUUGGAUUUUCUUGAUAGUUGCUUUUUGCUGAAAUCAUCUGGUUGUAAGGAAUGUUGGAUAACGACCAAUGACUCAUCUUCUUCACUUUACACUGCAAACAUUGAUCUAGAUUAUGUCCCUUUUUGAAAUUUAGUUUGUGAAGCUCUACAUGUUGUUAGGCUUAUCCAUAUUGGCAUGGCUUGAGUGGAACUAAGUUUGUAAGCUUGUGUGCGUCAUUAUGAUGGAUCACACUAUUAAUGUGAUGAUUGUUCUAGAAAUUAUCUUUCCAAAACUGACUUUAUGUUUUUUUGCCCAAUAUGAUUCUAAGUUGGAUAACUAGACAUGACUCAUCAAAUAACAAGAUAAACCGAGUAGCAAGUUGGGGGUUAUAAGUUAUAACAUGGACUUUUCUCUAAGAUACACCAUCUUGUCUUGCAUGCUAUGUGGAUUUCAAAAGCAUCUACUAAUUUAGAUGCAAUUGAAACAAAAGUAGACCGGAAAGAUAAGCAAUGAAAUGAGAAUACUAUUAUGUGAAGCUCUACAUGUCUGGUAAGCAGUAAGAUACUGGAUACAUCUAUAUCUUCAAUCCUGACAGUUUUUCUCAUCCCCAUCAACUCUUUAUUGGCUGCCUUUACUGUAGUCAUCCCUUAAAUAAAAAUCACUUAAAGAUAAGUUUGGGAGCUAGUACCAGCAUCUAUCAUGUACAAGAUAGAAAACUAAGGCACAUAUAGUAGUCUAUCGACCAUAUUUAAUUUCUUGUGAUGUGAAAGCAUGUGGAGUAUAAGCUCGUUAAAUAUAAAGUUGUCCUUCAUACCAGUAAGGAAAGAAUAUGCAGUAUAAAGAUUAGAGCAUUGGAUUAAUAUGCUAUUAAAUGCUACAGGAUAAUCGACAGUUCAAGUUAAGAACAACAAUAGCAUUCCAACUUUUGUCUUAUGCAAGUUAAGAACAUGCUAACAAAGUAACCUAAGCAAAUAAGUGCCAAACCUUCACCUAUAAGGAAGUUUUGAAACUACACAAAAUGACCUAUUUUAACGAAGGAAAAAAUCUAAAGGUGAAUGAAAGCACGUUAAGUACAUUCAGGAUUCGGUUAUGCCUUCGUGGAUAACCUUUUAGAUGGUGACUUGUCAACCUUGAUGUGUGUCGGCAUGGAACGAGGACAAGAAGACGUCGUUGUGUCGUACUUUGGGAAUUUCAUCAAACUGGUUGUGCGCGGGAACAAAUAUUUGUCGCCUCCCUACUCAAAUCUCUCUUCAUGUCACUGAAUCCGACACUCCACCUACCAAAUCUGCUGCAAGCCAGGGACAAUCAACAGGUUUCUCCGCCCGUAGCAUCUAUCACCAAAAGAAGUUCAGACUAUAGUCUUGUAGUUCAAAAUUUUGUAAUAACAAGCACUACUAGGUUGCUUUUGUUUGUACGUCUUCAUUCUAUACAACCCAUGGAACUAAAAAUGCAUUGGUCAUUCUUCGGUAUAUACAACCAAUGCAACCAAAAAUGCAUUGGGCUUUUCUUUGUACAUCUUCAGGUUCUACAACCAAUGCAACAAAAAAUCCAUUGGGCAGUCUUCCAUUCUAGUCGGGCACCAAUAGUUAAACGAGGAGCUAAACAGUGUUGGAGUCUAAAACUACAUACAAUCAUGAAGCAGAGAGAUGCGACUUGGAAGCUGUGCUCCUGUGAGCUCGUAUUUUUUGAAGAAAAAAGUAAUAUUUGAAUUUUGAAGUGGAAAAAAUCCUAAAAAGGGAUGUUUUGCGGGUUAUAACUUACUAUUUUUGAGUCCUGGGCUGCAGGAAGGUCGUCAAAAAUCAAUGUGUUUUCCCAUUCAUGCAUGUUUCUUGGGUUAUAGGUCACGCUUUUGGUGUCCUAAGGAGAUCACUUCCCUAGUCAGGAACAUUAGGUGAUGAUUUUUAGCAAAACUCAUUGUUUUAGCCUAACUAGUUUCGAGGAUUGGUGGACGAGAUUAUCAUGGAACAAAGUGACAACCUUCCUUUUCUUCAUGCCUAAUAUAAACUUAGCAGUCAGCUAAAAGUAACUAGCGAUAUCAUCGAAUGUUUUUUGUCAAAAGUAGAUACCACUUCAGGAUUCAACUCGGUUAGUUCAAUCACAGACAUGUUAAGAGCAGGAUUUACAACUAACUGCAUAGGCAACAUCUCCUUUUAUCGCCCACUAUAUGUCUUUGCACUUUGGUUUUCCCGUAGCAGCAAACAAAGCACUUUGUUAGUACCAAUAAUGUGCGCCAACUCUACACAUUAAUCAUCUUGAAUUCUUCUACUGAUGUUGAACAAUGUUAUAUCUUGAAUUCUUCUAACGAGUUCGGAUUAGACUACAUGGGCAAUUUAUGUGGUCCCUGAGAUGCAAGGUCGAUGAACAAUCGCUUCGUCUUAUGACGAGGGAUUGUUUUUGCCUAAGAAACCAAUACAUGUAACUUCGACACCAGAUUAAUAAUUGGUAAAACCCAAAUAAAUUAGAUCACGAGCUAAACCAUUUACUUUUGUAUGCAUUUAAACUGUUGAUACAUAUGAGCUUGUUAAGAUGUUCGCAUAAACACCAUGGUGAUUUGAAGCAAGACAAAGUAAACUUGAACCGCUUGAGCCAUUGACUUAAUAAGAACCUCCUUUCCCGUGGCAGAGAUUGUUUUUAAUACAUCCACUCACUUUGGUUCUCUUGUGAAAUCUGAUUCCUUCACCAAGGCUAUUGCUCCAGUAUUGUCACAAAAGAUUUUUAUUGGACCCGAUGCACUAGUUAUGACACCUAGAUCAUAUAUGAACUCCUUCAUCCCGACUCCUUCAUUUGCUGCUUCCGAAGCAGCUAUGUACUCCUCUUCACACGUAGAUCCCUCCACGAUGCUUUGCUUGGAACUGGACCAACUGACAGGUCCACCAUUCAAUAUAAAUACAUAUCCGGUUUGUGACUUAGAGUCAUCCGGAUCAGUGUCAAAGCUUGCAUCGACGUAACUAUUUACGACGAGCUCUUUGUCACCUCCAUAAACGAGAAACAUAUCCUUAGUCCUUUUCAGGUAUUUCAGGAUGUUCUUGACUGCUGUCUGGUGAUCCACUCCUGGAUUACUUUGGUACCUCCCUGCUAAACUAAUAGCAAGGCACAUAUCAGGUCUGGUACACAGCAUUGCAUACAUGAUAGAACCUAUGGCUGAAGCAUAGGGAAUGACUUUCAUUUUCUCUCUAUCUUCUACAGUGGUCGGGCAUUGAGUCUGACUCAACUUCACACCUUGUAACACAGGCAAGAACCCUUUCUUUGCUUGAUCCAUUUUGAACUUCUUCAAAACUUUAUCAAGGUAUGUGCUUUGUGAAAGUCCAAUUAACUGUCUUGAUCUAUCUCUAUAGUUCUUGAUGCCCAAUAUAUAAGCAGCUUCACCGAGGUCUUUCAUUGAAAAAUUCUUAUUCAAGUAUCCUUUUAUGCUAUCCAGAAAUUCCGUAUCAUUUCCGAUCAACAAUAUGUCAUCCACAUAUAAUAUCAGAAAUGCUACAGAGCUCCCACUCACUUUUUUGUAAAUACAGGCUUCUCCAAAAGUCUGUAUAAAACCAUAUGCUUUGAUCACACUAUCAAAGCGUAUAUUCCAACUCCGAGAGGCUUGCACCAGUCCAUAAAUUGAUCGCUGGGGCUUGCACACUUUGUUAGCACCUUUUGGAUCGACAAAACCUUCUGGUUGCAUCAUAUACAACUCUUCUUUAAGAUAUCCAUUAAGAAAUGCAGUUUUGACAUCCAUUCGCCAAAUCUCAUAAUCAUAAAAUGCGGCAAUUGCUAACAUGAUUCGGAAAGACUUAAGCAUCGCUACGGGUGAGAAGGUCUCAUCAUAGUCAACUCCGUGAAUUUGUCGAAAACCUUUCGCAACAAGUUGAGCUUUGUAGACAGUAACAUUACCGUCAGCGUCAGUCUUCUUCUUGAAGAUCCAUUUAUUCUCUAUGGCUUGCCGAUCAUCGGGAAAGUCAACCAAAUCCACACUUUGUUCUCAUACAUUGAUCCCAUCUCAGAUUUUAUGGCCUCAAGCCAUUUUGAGAAAUCUGGGCUCAUCAUUGCUUCCUCAUAGUUCGUAGGUUCGUCAUGGUCGAGUAACAUGACCUCCAGAACAGGAUUACCGUACCACUCUGGUGCGGAUCUUACUCUGGUUGACCUACGAGGUUCAGCGGUAACUUGAUCUGAAGUUUCAUGAUCAUCAUCAUUAGCUUCCUCACUAAUUGGUGUAGGAAUCAUUGGAACUGAUUUCUGUGAUGAACUACUUUCCAAUUUGGGAGCAGGUACAAUUACCUCAUCAAGUUCUACUUUCCUCCCACUCACUUCUUUCGAGAGAAAGUCCUUCUCUAGAAAGGAUCCUUUCUUAGCAACGAAUAUCUUGCCUUCGGAUCUGUGAUAGAAGGUGUGCCCAACAGUCUCCUUUGGGUAUCCUAUGAAGACACAUUUCUCCGAUUUGGGUUCGAGCUUAUCAGGUUGAAGCUUUUUCACAUAAGCAUCGCAGCCCCAAACUUUAAGAAACGACAACUUGGGUUUCUUGCCAAACCACAGUUCAUAUGGUAUCAUCUCAAUGGAUUUAGAUGGUGCCCUAUUUAACGUGAAUGCAGCCGUCUCUAAAGCAUAACCCCAAAAAGAUAGCGGUAAAUCAGUAAGAGACAUCAUAGAUCGCACCAUAUCUAAUAAAGUGCGGUUACGAUGUUCGGACACACCAUUAUGCUGUGGUGUUCCGGGUGGCGUGAGUUGCGAAACUAUUCCGCAUUGUUUCAAAUGAAGACCAAACUCGUAACUCAAAUAUUCACCUCCAUGAUCAAAUCGUACAAACUUUAUUUUCUUGUUACGAUGUUUUUCCAAUUCACUCUGAAAUUCUUUGAAUUUUUCAAAUGUUUCAAACUUAUGUUUCAUCAAGUAGAUAUACCCUGCUCAAAUCAUCUGUGAAGGUCAGAAAAUAACGAUACCCGCCGCGAGCCUCAACACUCAUCGGACCGCAUACAUCAGUAUGUAUUAUUUCCAACAAGUCUGUUACUCGCUCCAUUAUUCCAGAGAACGGAGUCUUAGUCAUCUUGCCCAUGAGGCAUGGUUCGCAAGCAUCAAGUGAUUCCAAAAGUCCAUCAUGAUGGAGUUUCUUCAUGCGCUUUACACCAAUAUGACCUAAACGGCAGUGCCACAAUAAGUUGCACUAUCAUUAUUAACCUUGCAUCUUUUGGCUUCAAUAUUAUGAAUAUGUGUGUCACUACUAUCGAGAUUCAACAAAAAUAGACCACUCAUUAAGGGUGCAUGACCAUAAAAGAUAUUACUCAUAUAAAUAGAACAACCAUUAUUCUCUGAUUUAGAUGAAUAACCGCCUCGCAUCAAACAAGAUCCAGAUAUAAUGUUCAUGCUUAACGCUGGCACCAAAUAACAAUUAUUCAGGUCUAAAACUAAUCCCAACGGUAGAUGUAGAGGUAGCGUGCCGACGGCGAUCACAUCGACUUUGGAACCAUUUCCCACGCGCAUCGUCACCUCGUCCUUAGCCAAUCUUCGCUUAAUCCGUAGCCCCUGUUUCGAGUUGCAAAUAUGAGCAACAGAACCAGUAUCAAAUACCCAGGCGCUACUACGAGCAUUAAUAAGGUACACAUCAAUAACAUGUAUAUCAAAUAUACCUUUCACUUUGCCAUCCUUCUUAUCCGCCAAAUACUUGGGGCAGUUCCGCUUCCAGUGACCAGUCCCUUUGUAGUAGAAGCACUCAGUCUCAGGCUUAGGUCCAGACUUGGGCUUCUUCACUUGAACAACAACUUGCUUGUCGUUCUUCUUGAAGUCCCCUUCUUCCCUUUGCCCUUUUUCUUGAAACUAGUGGUCUUGUUAACCAUCAACACUUGAUGCUCCUUCUUGAUUUCUACCUCUACAGCCUUUAGCAUUGCGAAGAGCUCGGGAAUUGUCUUAUCCAUCCCUUGCAUAUUAUAGUUCAUCAUGAAGCUUUUGUAGCUUGGUGGCAGUGAUUGAAGAACUCUGUCAAUGACACUAUCAUCAGGAAGAUUAACUCCCAGUUGAGUCAAGUGGUUGUGGUACCCAGACAUUCUGAGUAUAUGUUCACUGGUAGAACUAUUCUCCUCCAUCUUGCAGCUGUAGAACUUAUUGGAGACUUCAUAUCUCUCAAUCCGGGCAUUUGCUUGAAAUAUUAACUUCAACUCCUGGAACAUCUCAUAUGCUCCAUGACGUUCAAAACGUCGUUGAAGUCCCGAUUCUAAGCUGUAAAGCAUGGCACACUGAACUAUCGAGUAGUCAUCGGCUUUGCUUUGCCAGACGUUCAUAACGUCCGGUGUUGCUCCUGCAGCGGGUCUUGCACCUAGCGGUGCUUCCAGGACGUAAUUCUUCUGUGUGACAAUGAGGAUAAUCCUCAAGUUACGGACCCAGUCCGUGUAGUUCCUACCAUCAUCUUUCAAGUUAGCUUUCUCUAGGAACGCAUUAAAAUUCAAAGGAACAGUAGCACGGCCAUUGAUCUACAACAACAUAGACAUGCAAAAUACUAUCAGGUACUAAGUUCAUGAUAAAUUAAAGUUCAAUUAAUCAUAUUAAUUAAGAACUCCCACUUAGAUAGACAUCCCUCUAGUCAUCUAAAUGAUCACGUGAUCCAUAUCAACUAAACCAUGUCUGAUCAUCACGUGAGAUGGAGUAGUUUCAAUGGUGAACAUCACUAUGUUGAUCAUAUCUACUAUAUGAUUCACGCUCGACCUUUCGGUCUCAGUGUUCCGAGGCCAUAUCUGCAUAUGCUAGGCUCUUCAAGUUUAACCCAAGUAUUCUGCGUGUGCAAAACUGGCUUGCACCCGUUGUAUGUGAACGUAGAGCUUAUCACACCCGAUCAUCACGUGGUGUCUCGGCACGACGAACUGUAGCAACGGUGCAUACUCAGGGAGAACACUUGUACCUUGAAAUUUAGUGAGAGAUCAUCUUAUAAUGCUACCGCCGUACUAAGCAAAAUAAGAUGCAUAAAGGAUAAACAUCACAUGCAAUCAAAAUAAGUGAUAUGAUAUGGCCAUCAUCAUCUUGUGCCUUUGAUAUCCAUCUCCAAAGCACCGUUAUGAUCACCAUCGUCACCGGCUUGACACCUUGAUCUCCAUCGUAGCAUCAUUGUCAUCUCGCCAACUAUUAUUUCUACGACUAUCGCUACCGCUUAGUGAUAAAGUAAAGCAAUUAGAUGGCGAUUGCAUUUCAUACAAUAAAGCGACAACCAUAAGGCUCCUGCCAGUUGCCGAUAACUUUUACAAAACAUGAUCAUCUCAUACAACAAUUUAUAUAUCAUCACGUCUUGACCAUAUCACAUCACAGCAAGCCCUGCAAAAACAAGUUAGACGUCCUCUACUUUGUUGUUGCAAGUUUUACGUGGCUGCUACGGGCUUCUAGCAAGAACCGUUCUUACCUACGCAUCAAAACCACAACGAUUUUUCGUCAAGUGUGUUGUUUUAACCUUCAACAAGGACCGGGCAUAGUCAAACUCGAUUCAACUAAAGUUGGAGAAACAGACACCCACUAGCCACAUGUGUGUGAAGCACGUCGGUAGAACCAGUCUCAUGAACGCGGUCAUGUAAUGUCGGUCUGAGCCGCUGCAUCCAACAAUACCGCCGAAUCAAAGUAAGACGUUGUUGGUAAGUAGUAUGACUAUUAUCGUCCACAACUCAUUGUGUUCUACUCGUGCAUAUAACAUCUACACAUAGACCUGGCUCGGAUGCCACUGUUGGGGAACGUCGUAUUUCAAAAAAAAUCCUACGAUCACGCAAGAUCUAUCUAGGAGAAGCAUAGCAACGAGCGGGGAGAGUGUGUCCACGUACCCUCGUACACUGAAAGCGGAAGCGUUUAGUAACGUGGUUGAUGUAGUCGAACGUAUUCGCGAUCCAACCGAUCCAAGCACCGAACGUACGCACCUCCGCGUUCAGCACACGUUCAGCUCGAUGACGUCCCUCGAGCUCUUGAUCCAGUUGAGGCCGAGGGAUAGUUCCGUCAGCACGAUGGCGUGGCGACGGUGAUGAUGAAGUUACCGGCACAGGGCUUCGCCUAAGCACUACGACGAUAUGACCGAGGUGUGUAACUGUGGAGGGGGGGCACUGCACACGGCUAAGAGAAACUUGUGUGUCUUUGGGGUGCCCCCCUCCCACGUAUAUAAAGGGGGAGGAGGAGGAGGCCGGCCCAAGGGGGGCGCGCCACAUGUGGGGAGUCCUAUCUUCUCUCCCAUGGCCCAUAAGGCCCAUGACUUCCCCCGGGGGGUUCCGGUAACCUCCCGGUACUCCGGAAAAAUGCCUGAAUCACUCGGAACCAUUCCGAUGUCCGAAUGCAACCUUCCAAUAUAUGAAUCUUUACCUCUCGACCAUUUCGAGACUCCUCGUCAUGUCUGUGAUCUCAUUCGGGACUCCAAACAAACUUCGGUCAUCAAAUCACAUAACUCAUAAUACAAAUCGUCAUCGAACGUUAAGCGUGCGGACCCUACGGGUUCGAGAACUAUGUAGACAUGACCGAGACACAUCUCCGGUCAAUAACCAAUAGCAGAACCUGCAUGCUCAUAUUGGCUCCUACAUAUUCUACGAAGAUCUUUAUCGGUCAAACCGCAUAACAACAUACGUUGUUCCCUUUGUCAUAUGUAUGUUAUUUGCCCGAGAUUCGAUCGUCGGUAUCCUCAUACCUAGUUCAAUCUCGUUACCGGUAAGUCUCUUUAAUCGUUCCGUAAUUCAUCAUCUCGUAACUAAAUCAUUAGUCACAUUGCUUGCAAGGCUUAUAGUGAUGUGCAUUACUGAGAGGGCCCGGAGAUACCUCUCCGAUACACGGAGUGACAAAUCCUAAUCUCGAUCUAUGCCAACUUAACAAACACCAUCGGAGACACCUGUAGAGCAUCUUUAUAAUCACCCAGUUACGUUGUGACGUUUGAUAGCACACUAAGUGUUCCUCCGGUAUUCGGGAGUUGCAUAAACUCAUAGUCAUAGGAACAUGUAUAAGUCAUGAAGAAAGCAAUAGCAAUAAACCUAAACGAUCAUUAUGCUAAGAUAACGGAUGGGUCUUAUCCAUCACAUCAUUCUCUAAUGAUGUGAUCCCGUUCAUCAAAUGACAACACAUGUCUAUGGUUAGGAAACUUAACCAUCUAGUAGAGGCAUACUAGGGACACUCUGUUUGUCUAUGUAUUCACACAUGUACUAAGUUUCUAGUUAAUACAAUUCUAGCAUGAAUAAUAAAGAUUUAUCAUGAUAUAAGGAAAUAUAAAUAACAACUUUAUUAUUGCCUCUAGGGCAUAUUUCCUUCAGGAAGGGCAUAGCGGGUGGGAGGGAGAAGGGGAAUUAAGAGAGUGUGGGUUUGAGUUUGGGCCUCCGCACGCUAUGUGUACACAUGUGUUGGUGGCUCGAUAGUAGUGGUUGUUGGAUAACGUAGUAAUUUCAAAAAAAUUCCUACGAACACGCAAGAUCAUGGUGAUGCACAGCAACGAGAGGGGAGAGUGUUUUCCACGUACCCUAGACCGAAAGAGGAAGCGUUAACACAACGUGGUUGAUGUAGUCGUACGUCUUCAUGAUCUGACCGAUCAAGUACCAAACGCACGGCACCUCGGAGUUCAGCACACGUUCAGCUCGAUGACGUCCCUCAAACUCCGAUCCAGCCGAGUGUUGAGGGAGAGUUUCGUCAGCACGACGGCGUGGUGACGAUGCUGAUGCUCUACCGACGCAGGGCUUCGCCUAAGCUCCGCUACGAUAUUAUCGAGGUGUAAUAUGGUGGAGGGGGCACCGCACACGGCUAAAAGAUCGUUGAUCAAUUGUGUGUCCAGAGGUGCCCCCUACCCCCGUAUAUAAAGGUGCAAGGGGGAGGCCGCCGGCCUAGGAGGUAGAGGCGCGCCAGGAGGAGUCCUACUCCUACCGGGAGUAGGACUCCCCCCCUUUCCAUGUUGGACUAGGAGUGGAAGGGGGAAGAGGUGGAGGGGAGGAAGGAAGGGGGGGCGCCGCCCCCUUCUCCUUGUCCUAUUCGGACUGGGGGGAAGGGGGGUGCGGCCCUGCCCUAGCCUCCUCUCCUCUCUUCCACCUAGGCCCAAUAAGGCCCAUUAAGUUACCGGGGGGGUCCGGUAACCUCCCGGUACUCCGGAAAAAUCCCGAUUUCACCCGAAACACUUCUGAUGUCCAAACAUAGGCUUCCAAUAUAUCAAUCUUUAUGUCUCGACCAUUUCGAGACUCCUCGUCAUGUCCGUGAUCACAUCCGGGACUCCGAACAACCUUCGGUACAUCAAAACAUAUAAACUCAUAAUAUAACUGUCAUCGUAACGUUAAGCGUGCGGACCCUACGGGUUCGAGAACUAUGUAGACAUGACCGAGACACCUCUCCGGUCAAUAACCAAUAGCGGAACCUGGAUGCUCAUAUUGGUUCCCACAUAUUCUACGAAGAUCUUUAUCGGUCAGACCGCAUAACAACAUACGUUGUUCCCUUUGUCAUCGGUAUGUUACUUGCCCGAGAUUCGAUCGUCGGUAUCUCGAUACCUAGUUCAAUCUCGUUACCGGCAAGUCUCUUUACUCGUUCCGUAAUACAUCAUCCCGCAACUAACUCAUUAGUCACAAUGCUUGCAAGGCUUAAAGUGAUGUGUAUUACUGAGUGGGCCCAGAGAUACCUCUCCGACAAUCGGAGUGACAAAUCCUAAUCUCGAAAUACGCCAACCCAACAAGUACCUUUGGAGACACCUGUAGAGCACCUUUAUAAUCACCCAGUUACGUUGUGACGUUUGGUAGCACACAAAGUGUUCCUCCGGUAAACGGGAGUUGCAUAAUCUCAUAGUCAUAGGAACAUGUAUAAGUCAUGAAGAAAGCAAUAGCAACAUACUAAACGAUCGAGUGCUAAGCUAACGGAAUGGGUCAAGCCAAUCACGUCAUUCUCCUAAUGAAGUGAUCCCGUUAAUCAAAUGACAACUCAUGUCUAUGGCUAGGAAACAUAACCAUCUUUGAUUAACGAGCUAGUCAAGUAGAGGCAUACUAGUGACACUCUGUUUGUCUAUGUAUUCACACAUGUAUUAUGUUUCCGGUUAAUACAAUUCUAGCAUGAAUAAUAAACAUUUAUCAUGAUAUAAGGAAAUAAAUAAUACUUUAUUAUUUCCUCUAGGGCAUAUUUCCUUCAGUCUCCCACUUGCACUAGAGUCAAUAAUCUAGAUUACACAGUAAUGAUUCUUACACCCAUGGAGUCUUGGUGCCGAUCAUGUUUUGCUCGUGGAAGAGGCUUAGUCAACGGGUCUGCAACAUUCAGAUCCGUAUGUAUCUUGCAAAUUUCUAUGUCUCCCACCUGGACUAAAUCCCGGAUGGAAUUGAAGCGUCUUUUGAUGUGCUUGGUUCUCUUGUGAAAUAUGGAUUCCUUUGCUAAGGCAAUUGCACCAGUAUUGUCACAAAAGAUUUUCAUUGGUCCCGAUGCACUAGGUAUGACACCUAGAUCGGAUAUGAACUCCUUCAUCCAGACUCCUUCAUUUGCUGCUUCCAAAGCAGCUAUGUACUCCGCUUCACACGUAGAUCCCGCCAUGACACUUUGCUUAGAACUGCACCAACUGACAGCUCCACCGUUCAAUGUAAAUACGUAUCCGGUUUGCGAUUUACAAUCGUCCGGAUCAGUGUCAAAGCUUGCAUCAACGUAACCAUUUACGAUGAGCUCUUUGUCACCUCCAUAAACGAGAAACAUAUCCUUAGUCCUUUUCAGGUAUUUCAGGAUGUUCUUGACCGCUGUCCAGUGAUCCGCUCCUGGAUUACUUUGGUACCUCCCUGCUAAACUUAUAGCAAGGCACACAUCAGGUCUGGUACACAGCAUUGCAUACAUGAUAGAGCCUAUGGCUGAAGCAUAGGGAACAUCUUUCAUCUUCUCUCUAUCUUCUGCAGUGGUCGGGCAUUGAGUCUUACUCAAUCUCACACCUUGUAGUACAGGCAAGAACCCUUUUUUGCUUGAUCCAUUUUGAACUUCUUCAAAACUUUGUCAAGGUAUGUGCUUUGUGAAAGUCCAAUUAAGCGUCUUGAUCUAUCUCUAUAGAUCUUGAUGCCUAAUAUAUAUGCAGCUUCACCGAGGUCUUUCAUUGAAAAGCUCUUAUUCAAGUAUCCCUUUAUGCUAUCCAGAAAUUCUAUAUCAUUUCCAAUCAGCAAUAUGUCAUCCACAUAUAAUAUUAGAAAUGCUACUGAGCUCCCACUCACUUUCUUGUAAAUACAGGCUUCUCCAAAAGUCUGUAUAAAACCAAAUGCUUUGAUCACACUAUCAAAGCGUUUAUUCCAACUCCGAGAGGCUUGCACCAGUCCAUAAAUGGAUCACUGGAGCUUGCACACUUUGUUAGCUCCCUUUGGAUUUACAAAACCUUCCGGUUGCAUCAUAUACAACUCUUCUUCCAGAAAUCCAUUCAGGAAUGCAGUUUUGACAUCCAUUUGCCAAAUUUCAUAAUCAUAAAAUGCGGCAAUUGCUAACAUGCAUGAUUCGGACAGAGUUAAGCAUCGCUACGGGUGAGAAGGUAUCAUCGUAGUCAAUCCCUUGAACUUGUCGAAAACCUUUCGCAACAAGUCGAGCUUUAUAGACAGUAACAUUACCGUCAGCGUCAGUCUUCUUCUUGAAGAUCCAUUUAUUUUCAAUGGCUUGCCGAUCAUCGGGCAAGUCAACCAAAGUCCAUACUUUGUUCUCAUACAUGGAUCCCAUCUCGGAUUUCAUGGCUUCAAGCCAUUUUGCGGAAUCUGGGCUCACCAUCGCUUCUUCAUAGUUCGUAGGUUCGUCAUGGUCUAGUAACAUAACCUCCAGAACAGGAUUACCGUACCACUCUGGUGCGGAUCUUAAUCUGGUUGAUCUACGAGGUUCAGUAAUAACUUGAUCUGAAGUUUCAUGAUCAUUAUCAUUAACUUCCCCACUAAUUGGUGUAGGUGUCGCAGAAACUGGUUUCUGUGAUGAUCUACUUUCCAAUAAGGGAGCAGGUACAGUUACCUCAUCAAGUUCUACUUUCCUCCCACUCACUUCUUUCGAGAGAAACUCCUUCUCUAGAAAGGAUCCAUUCUUAGCAACGAAUGUCUUGCCUUCGGAUCUGUGAUAGAAGGUGUACCCAACAGUCUCCUUUGGGUAUCCUAUGAAGACACAUUUCUCCGAUUUAGGUUCGAGAUUAUCAGGUUGAAGUUUCUUCACAUAAGCAUCGCAACCCCAAACUUUAAGAUACGACAACUUUGGUUUCUUGCCAAACCAUAGUUCAUAAGGUGUCGUUUCAACGGAUUUUGAUGGUGCCCUAUUUAGAGUGAAUGUAGCCGUCUCUAAAGCAUAACCCCAAAACGACAGCGGUAAAUCAGUAAGAGACAUCAUAGAUCGCACCAUAUCUAGUAAAGUACGAUUACGACGUUCGGACACACCGUUACGCUGUGGUGUUCCGGGUGGCGUGAGUUGCGAAACUAUUCUGCAUUGUUUCAAAUGUAGGCCAAACUCGUAACUCAAAUAUUCUCCUCCACGAUCUGAUCGUAGAAACUUUAUUUUCUUGUUACGAUGAUUUCCAACUUCGCUCUGAAAUUCUUUGAACUUUUCAAAUGUUUCAGACUUAUGUUUCAUUAAGUAGAUAUACCCAUAUCUGCUCAAAUCAUCUGUGAAGGUGAGAAAAUAACGAUAUCCGCCACGAGCCUCAAUAUUCAUCGGACCACAUACAUCUGUAUGUAUGAUUUCCAAUAAAUUUGUUGCUCUCUCCAUAGUUCCGGAGAACGGUGUUUUAGUCAUCUUGCCCAUGAGGCACGGUUCGCAAGUACCAAGUGAUUCCAAAAGUCCAUCGGUAUGGAGUUUCUUCAUGCGCUUUACACCGAUAUGACCUAAACGGCAGUGCCACAAAUAAGUUGCACUGUCAUUAUCAACUCUGCAUCUUUUGGCUUCGACAUUAUGAAUAUGUGUGUCACUACUAUCGAGAUUCAUUAAAAAUAGACCACUCUUCAAGGGUGCAUGACCAUAAAAGAUAUUAUUCAUAUAAAUAGAACAACCAUUAUUCUCUGAUUUAAAUGAAUAACCGUCUCGCAUUAAACAAGAUCCAGAUAUAAUGUUCAUGCUCAACGCUGGCACCAAAUAACAAUUAUUUAGGUCUAAAACUAAUCCCGAAGGUAGAUGUAGAGGUAGCGUGCCGACCGCGAUCACAUCGACUUUGGAACCAUUUCCCACGCGCAUCGUCACCUCGUCCUUAGCCAAUCUUCGCUUAAUCCGUAGCCCCUGUUUCGAGUUGCAAAUAUUAGCAACAGAACCAGUAUCAAAUACCCAGGUGCUACUGCGAGCAUUAGUAAGGUACACAUCAAUAACAUGUAUAUCACAUAUACCUUUGUUAACCUUGCCAUCCUUCUUAUCCGCCAAAUACUUGGGGCAGUUCCGCUUCCAGUGACCAGUCUGCUUGCAGUAGAAGCACUUAGUUUUAGGCUUAGGUCCAGACUUGGGUUUCUUCUCCUGAACAGCAACUUGCUUGCUGUUCUUCUUGAAGUUCCCCUUCUUCUUCCCUUUGCCCUUUUUCUUGAAACUAGUGGUCUUACUGACCAUCAACACUUGAUGCUCCUUUUUGAUUUCUACCUCUGCUGCCUUUAGCAUUGCGAAGAGCUCGGGAAUUGUCUUAUUCAUCCCUUGCAUGUUAUAGUUCAUCACGAAGCUCUUGUAGCUUGGUGGCAGUGAUUGAAGAAUUCUGUCAAUGACGCUAUCAUCCGGAAGAUUAACUCCCAGUUGAAUCAAGUGAUUAUUAUACCCCAGACAUUUUGAGUAUAUGCUCACUGACAGAACUAUUCUCUUCCAUCUUGCAGCUGUAGAACUUAUUGGAGACUUCAUAUCUCUCAAUCCGGGCAUUUGCUUGAAAUAUUAACUUCAACUCCUGGAACAUCUCAUAUGCUCCAUGACGUUCAAAACGUCGUUGAAGACCCGGUUCUAAGCCGUAAAGCAUGGCACACUGAACUAUCGAGUAGUCAUCAGCUUUGCUCUGCCAGACGUUCAUAACUUCUGGUGUUGCUCUUGCAGGAGGCCUGGCACCUAGCGGUGCUUCCAGGACGUAAUUCUUCUAUGCAGCAAUGAGGAUAAUCCUCAAGUUACGGACCCAGUCCGUGUAAUUGAUACCAUCAUCUUUCAACUUUGCUUUCUCAAGGAACGCAUUAAAAUUCAACGGAACAACAGCACGGGCCAUUUAUCUACAAUUAACAUAGACAAGCAAGAUACUAUCAGGUACUAAGUUCAUGAUAAAUUUAAGUUCUAUUAAUCAUAUUUCUUAAGAACUCCCACUUAGAUAGACAUCCCUCUAAUCAUCUAAGUGAUUACGUGAUCCAAAUCAACUAAACCAUGUCCGAUAAUCACGUGAGUUGGAGUAGUUUCAAUGGUGAACAUCACUAUGUUGAUCAUAUCUACUAUAUGAUUCACGCUCGACCUUUCGGUCUCCGUGUUCCGAGGCCAUAUCUGCAUAUGCUAGGCUCGUCAAGUUUAACCUGAGUAUUCCGCGUGUGCAACUGUUUUGCACCCGUUGUAUUUGAACGUAGAGCCUAUCACACCCGAUCAUCACGUGGUGUCUCAGCACAAAGAACUUUCGCAACGGUGCAUACUCAGGUAGAACACUUUUAUCUUGAAAUUUUAGUGAGAGGUCAUCUUAUAAUGCUACCGUCAAUCAAAGCAAGAUAAGAUGCAUAAAAGAUAAACAUCACAUGCAAUCAAUAUCAGUGAUAUGAUAUGGCCAUCAUCAUCUUGUGCUUGUGAUCUCCAUCUCCGAAGCACCGUCAUGAUCACCAUCGUCACCGGCUCGACACCUUGAUCUCCAUCGUAGCAUCGUUGUCGUCUCGCCAACUAUUGCUUUUACGACUAUCGCUACCGCUUAGUGAUAAAGUAAAACAAUUACAUGGCGAUUGCAUUGCAUACAAUAAGCGACAGCCAUAUGGCUCCUGCCAGUUGCCGAUAACUCGGUUACAAAAAAUGAUCAUCUCAUACAAUAAAAUAUAGCAUCAUGUCUUGACCAUAUCACAUCACAACAUGCCCUGCAAAAACAAGUUACACGUCCUCUACUUCGUUGUUGCAAGUUUUACGUGGCUGCUACGGGCUUAGCAACAACCGUUCUUACCUACGCAUCAAAACCACAAUGAUGGUUUGUCAAGUUGGUGCUGUUUUAACCUUCGCAAGGACCGGGCGUAGCCACACUCGGUUCAACUAAACUGAGAGAGACAGACACCCGCCAGUCACCUUUAAGCAACGAGUGCACGCAACGGUGAAACCAGUCUCGCGUAAGCGUACGCGUAAUGUCGGUCCGGGCCGCUUCAUCUCACAAUACCGCCGAACCAAAGUAUGACAUGCUGGUAAGCAGUAUGACUUAUAUCGCCCACAACUCACUUGUGUUCUACUCAUGCAUAGCAUCAACGCAUAAAACCAGGCUCGGAUGCCACUGUUGGGUAACGUAGUAAUUUCAAAAAAAAUCCUACGAACACGCAAGAUCAUGGUGAUGCACAGCAACGAGAGGGGAGAGUGUUGUCCAUGUACCCUCAUAGACCGAAAGCGGAAGCGUUAACACAACGCGGUUGAUGUAGUCGUACGUCUUCACGAUCUGACCGAUCAAGUACCGAACGCACGGCACCUCCGAGUUCAGCACACGUUCAGCUCGAUGACGUCCCUCGAACUCCGAUCCAGCCGAGUGUUGAGGGAGAUUUUUGUCAGCAUGACGGUGUGGUGACGAUGAUGAUGUUCUACCGACGCAGGGCUUCGCCUAAGCUCCGGUACGAUAUUAUCGAGGUGUAAUAUGGUGGAGGGGGGCACCGCACACGGCUAAAAGAUCGUUGAUCAAUUGUGUGUCCAGAGGUGCCCCCUGCCCCCGUAUAUAAAGGUGCAAGGGGGAGGCCGCCGGCCUAGGAGGUAGAGGCGCGCCAAGAGGAGUCCUACUCCUACCGGGAGUAGGACUCCCCCCCUUUCCAUGUUGGACUAGGAGUGGAAGGGGGAAGAGGUGGAGGGGAGGAAGGAAGGGGGGCGCCGCCCCCUUCUCCUUGUCCUAUUCGGACUGGGGGGGAAGCGGGGCGCGGCCCUGCCCUAGCCUCCUCUCCUCUCUUCCACCUAGGCCCAAUAAGGCCCAUUAAGUUACCGGGGGGGUCCGGUAACCUCCCGGUACUCCGGAAAAAUCCCGAUUUCACCCGGAACACUUCCGAUGUCCAAACAUAGGCUUCCAAUAUAUCAAUCUUUAUGUCUCGACCAUUUCGAGACUCCUUGUCAUGUCCGUGAUCACAUCCGGGACUCCGAACAACCUUCGGUACAUCAAAACAUAUAAACUCAUAAUAUAACUGUCAUCGUAACGUUAAGCGUGCGGACCCUACGGGUUCGAGAACUAUGUAGACAUGACCGAGACACCUCUCCGGUCAAUAACCAAUAGCGGAACCUGGAUGCUCAUAUUGGUUCCCACAUAUUCUACGAAGAUCUUUAUUGGUCAGACCGCAUAACAACAUACGUUGUUCCCUUUGUCAUCGGUAUGUUACUUGCCCGAGAUUCGAUCGUCGGUAUCUCGAUACCUAGUUCAAUCUCGUUACCGGCAAGUCUCUUUACUCGUUCCGUAAUACAUCAUCCCGCAACUAACUCAUUAGUUACAAUGCUUGCAAGGCUUAUAGUGAUGUGCAUUACCGAGUGGGCCCAGAGAUACCUCCCGACAAUCGGAGUGACAAAUCCUAAUCUCGAAAUACGCCAACCCAACAAGUACCUUUGGAGACACCUGUAGAGCACCUUUAUAAUCACCCAGUUACGUUGUGACGUUUGGUAGCACACAAAGUGUUCCUCCGGUAAACGGGAGUUGCAUAAUCUCAUAGUCAUAGGAACAUGUAUAAGUCAUGAAGAAAGCAAUAGCAACAUACUAAACGAUCGAGUGCUAAGCUAACGGAAUGGGUCAAGCCAAUCACGUCAUUCUCCUAAUGAAGUGAUCCCGUUAAUCAAAUGACAACUCAUGUCUAUGGCUAGGAAACAUAACCAUCUUUGAUUAACGAGCUAGUCAAGUAGAGGCAUACUAGUGACACUCUGUUUGUCUAUGUAUUCACACAUGUAUUAUGUUUCCGGUUAAUACAAUUCUAGCAUGAAUAAUAAACAUUUAGCAUGAUAUAAGGAAAUAAAUAAUACUUUAUUAUUGCCUCUAGGGCAUAUUUCCUUCAGUGGCGCCGGGUUAAGACCCCACGCUACUACUAUGGCCUAUCCCGAGGGGGUACGGUAGAGACCACUUAGUAGUGGCGAGGGGUUUAUACCCCUCGCUAAUACUAUCAACUUAGUAGUAGUGAGGGAUUUAUACCCCUCCAUACUACUAUGGCCAGUCCCGGGGGGCACGGUGGAGACCACUUAGUAGUAGUGUGGGGUUUAUACCCCUCGCUACUACUAUCAACUUAGUAGUAGCGUGGGUUCUAUACCCCUCGCUACUAAUAAUUAGCAGCAGUGUGGCCCAUAUACCCCUCAAUACUGUUAAGCAUCUAUCUAUAAGGUAUUUUCUAGUAGUGCAUGGAUGGCGGCGAAAUCAGUCGUUCUGCUUGUUUUCCCUACUAGCUCUCUGACGUCCAGAACAAGUUUACGGUCAUAAGGUGCAAUGCCCUUGCCUUCGUGAGUGACACGAUGACACGGGAAUGGGCUUCCAAGCCUAUGGUGUCGCAUCGUCUCAUGGUCUGCUAGACUUAGUGGACGGAUGCUACUCCAGUAUCGGUUGAUCCCAUACUAUGAUACCAAGGAAGACACGUAACUACUAUAUAUAUAUUUCUUCAAGUCAGUCAACACAAGUAAAAUCUGGGAGUUCAACCGGUGCAGCUAUGCAAUGCUAAUGGAGACAACACAAUUCAACUUUAGCACUUCACACAUAAGCAACACCACGUUCAAUGGCACACACCUUAGAGUGUACCAAUGGUGGUUGAUUGGGCUAUAAGAAAUGUGAGUCCAUGUGAAGAUGCCAAACAUAAUAACACGGCUAAUUACACAUGCAGUGGCAGCAGCAACAAGUGCGUGAAUUCCACAAAUGAUCUAGGGUACACAUGCAACUGUGUCCUUGAGUAUGACAACAACCCUUAUCUUCUAGACAAAUGCAUGGUAUGCUACUAAUUUAUUUGCUACAAAAUCCAAUGAAUUGUGUCCUUUACUUUGUACAUACCCAAUUAUGAUAUUUGAUUUUGCUAAUACAAUGUAGCUUUCAAUUUAAACCAAGUUUUGCAUCAAUUAAUUAUGUUAGGUUCAUAUGACUUCACUACAUAAAUAGGUAGAUAAUGCAUAAGACUGAGAUUGUAGCUAGGGAUGAAAAACUAAAUAUGGCAUGAAUCUAACAAUUAUGAGUGAUGUCUUUGUGACAAGAACUUCCUUUGUCUUUUAUUCCCAUGUUUGAACUAGUAUAGGUCGGGGUUACACAUUAUGGUGCACAUCACUUUAUUUAUCAUCAUUACAUUGAACACUCAUUGACUAAACAACGAUGAUCCAUCCGUCUUGUAUUACAGGUCUUCAUUUCAUUGGCCAUCGAUGCUUGUAAGACUACUCCCAUAUGGUUGUUGUUGUGGAUAUGGUUGUUGAGGUUGGUGUGGUUGCUGGGGGAAUGGUUGUUGGGGUUGCUGGGAAAUUGUUUGUUCUAGUUGCUGGGAUAAUUGUUGUUGGGGCUGCAGAAAUGGUUGUUGUGGUUGCAGGAUGGAUGGUUGUUGGGGUUGCUGGGGUUGGGGCUGGGGAAAUGAUUGUUGUGAUUGUUGGGGUUGCUGGGAAAAUGGUUGUUGCGGUCGUAGGGGGAAUGGUUGUUGUGGUUNNNNNNNNNNNNNNNNNNNNNNNNNNNNNNNNNNNNNNNNNNNNNNNNNNNNNNNNNNNNNNNNNNNNNNNNNNNNNNNNNNNNNNNNNNNNNNNNNNNNNNNNNNNNNNNNNNNNNNNNNNNNNNNNNNNNNNNNNNNNNNNNNNNNNNNNNNNNNNNNNNNNNNNNNNNNNNNNNNNNNNNNNNNNNNNNNNNNNNNNNNNNNNNNNNNNNNNNNNNNNNNNNNNNNNNNNNNNNNNNNNNNNNNNNNNNNNNNNNNNNNNNNNNNNNNNNNNNNNNNNNNNNNNNNNNNNNNNNNNNNNNNNNNNNNNNNNNNNNNNNNNNNNNNNNNNNNNNNNNNNNNNNNNNNNNNNNNNNNNNNNNNNNNNNNNNNNNNNNNNNNNNNNNNNNNNNNNNNNNNNNNNNNNNNNNNNNNNNNNNNNNNNNNNNNNNNNNNNNNNNNNNNNNNNNNNNNNNNGCCAGGGAAAUGGUUGUUGCGGCUGUGGAAAAGGUUGUUGUGGUUGUUGGGGUUGCUGGGGGAAUGGUUGUUGUGGUUGUAGGGGGGUCGGUUGUUGGGGCUGGGUAAAUGGUUGUUGUGAUUGCUGGGGAAAUUGUGGUUGGGGUGUGGGAAAUGGUUGUUGCGAUGGAUAUGGUUGCUGUGAUGGAUAUGGUUGUUGUGGAUAUGGUUGCUGUGGAAAUGGUUGUUGUUGAUGGGAAAAUGAUUGUUGAGGUGAUUGUAGCUCUUUGUUGCUAGGGUUUAGCUGCCUAGCAGCAGUGGCGAUGUUCAUCGCCAUGGCAAGGAGGACAAAGAUGAGGAAGGUCUUCAUGUUUGAUUUGUGGUUACUACUGCUUGCUUGCCUUUGAUGCUUGUGGUCUAGGUGUGUGAAGUUUGGAUGAUGGAAGGUGUCCUUGGUGGUGCAUGUGUAUUUAUAGUUUUCAUGGCAUGGCUUGCUUUCAUCUUUGCACUCGCUUUUUGAAAAAGUG